RNAcentral lists this long non-coding RNA (200 nucleotides) under Lathyrus oleraceus (garden pea). RNAcentral describes it as "Pisum sativum (pea) long non-coding RNA (PSAT_LNC039891)". The record is from RNAcentral. Lineage: Eukaryota; Viridiplantae; Streptophyta; Magnoliopsida; Fabales; Fabaceae.
AAAAACCUAAGAAGUUUUACACGUAGAAAACUAAUGAAAAAGAUCAGAGAGUCUGGGUAAGGGGUAAAUUACGCAAUGGGAAGGUGUUAGACACCCAUCACGUCCUAGGUACUCCUAGGGAGCCCUUUUCACACUUGUUGUAUAAAAAAUGUUUAUUUGUUUUGACAUAUUGUGCAAACAUGAGUGGGAUGACGAGAAAA